RNAcentral lists this ribosomal RNA (19 nucleotides) under Ara ararauna (blue-and-yellow macaw). Its description in RNAcentral is "partial 12S ribosomal RNA". Lineage: Eukaryota; Metazoa; Chordata; Aves; Psittaciformes; Psittacidae. The record is from RNAcentral.
AAAAGACUCAGUCCUAACC